Molecule: long non-coding RNA, 235 nt
Filed under: Gossypium raimondii (Peruvian cotton)
Lineage: Eukaryota; Viridiplantae; Streptophyta; Magnoliopsida; Malvales; Malvaceae
Description: long non-coding RNA (GRAI_LNC001401)
Source: RNAcentral
UCCAAAAUAGGUUCGCAAAAAAAGUUUGGAAAAAAAUAUCGUGCAUAAAAAGGCACUCAAUUGUAUUUAUUCAUCUUUUGUAAUUAAAAAAAUAUUAAAAAUAUUAAAAAAAUUACGAAGUUUAAAAAAAAGUCUUGAAAGUUUAAAGUGUUUUAUCUUUUGUAGCCCAUUCUUAUAUCACCCUAUACACCACACCUAAACCUAUUUCAAUUUCUUUCAGCCUACCCUAACCCAU